AAAAAAAAGGAAGAUGAAGACUGCAAGACAUCUUCCAUGGUUGAUCUGCUCCGAUCUGGGGGUAAAAGCCAGCUUCCCGGCCCACCUACCAAACCUAAACCAUCCUGACCAAGAGGAGAACUGUUCCACAUUUGCCAUGUUCCCUUUUCAUUAACAUGCACAUCAUCCACGGGCAGGGUGUGCAAAUCUUGAGCCUUAGGACUAGUAGGGAACCAAUUAGAUCCAUUAUGCUUCUCAUCAGCAACUCGGAGUCGAGACAACGGAGACUCAAUUGGAGAUGGCUUGUUAGCUUCAGAAGAUGCAGAUAAAUUCUUCAAAGCAUGAGGCCUUUCCAAUCCCAUGUCUGAUGCAAAACCAGUCCCCAGGUCCAACUGGAAAUUAUCAAGUGACUCUGAUACAGGCCCAAGCAAUGAUAUUGGAUCAGGAACAUAACAUGGAUCUUCAAAAAGCUCAG
This 454-nucleotide unclassified non-coding RNA is filed under the name Hevea brasiliensis (rubber tree). Lineage: Eukaryota; Viridiplantae; Streptophyta; Magnoliopsida; Malpighiales; Euphorbiaceae. The record is from RNAcentral.